GAUGAAGAACGUAGCGAAAUGCGAUACUUGGUGUGAAUUGCAGAAUCCCGUGAACCAUCGAGUCUUUGAACGCAAGUUGCGCCCGAAGCCACUAGGCCGAGGGCACGCCUGCCUGGGCGUCACACGUCGUUGCCCCCCACCAUCUACUCCUUCGGGAUUGCGGGGGGCGGAUGAUGGCCUCCCGUGCGCCUAGCCGCGCGGUUGGCAUAAAUACCAAGUCCUCGGCGACGCACGCCACGACAAUCGGUGGUUGCGAAACCUCGGUUGCCCGUCGUGUGCGUUCGUCGCGCAUCGAGGGCUCGCAAAAAUGCUCGGCUCCGGCUCGGCUUUCAACGCGACCCCAGGUCAGGCGGGGUUACCCGCUGAAUUUAAGCAUAUCAAUAAGCGGAGGA
This 392-nucleotide unclassified non-coding RNA is filed under the name soil metagenome. RNAcentral describes it as "partial contains 5.8S ribosomal RNA, internal transcribed spacer 2, and large subunit ribosomal RNA". The stretch from base 1 to 122 matches the Rfam family "5.8S ribosomal RNA", at positions 35 to 154 of the family's 154-position model. The record is from RNAcentral.